AAGAAGCGAGCCCAGGAUUGUAG
This 23-nucleotide non-coding RNA is filed under the name Cricetulus griseus (Chinese hamster). The record is from RNAcentral. Lineage: Eukaryota; Metazoa; Chordata; Mammalia; Rodentia; Cricetidae.